GAUGGCUGAGCUUUAUUAAAGUAUUUGAUUUGCAUUCAAUUGGUGUAAGAUAAAUUCUUGCAGUCUUUC
RNAcentral lists this transfer RNA (69 nucleotides) under Canis lupus familiaris (dog). It matches the Rfam family "tRNA". Rfam says of the family: Transfer RNA (tRNA) molecules are approximately 80 nucleotides in length. Their secondary structure includes four short double-helical elements and three loops (D, anti-codon, and T loops). RNAcentral also lists the same sequence under 1 other name. Lineage: Eukaryota; Metazoa; Chordata; Mammalia; Carnivora; Canidae. The record is from Rfam by way of RNAcentral.